AAAAGAUACAUAGACCACUCUUUCUAUACACCAUUUUGUACCACUAAUGAUGUGGUAUGGGCAUUUUCGUAAUUUCACACAUUUUAUAAUUUCAUUCAUCCCAGAACCAUGCUUGCUUUCUCUCUCUCCUCAAACGAUGUGUUCUUAUAGAUACAGCUACGCUUUUGCAGAAUUCAUAGUUUUUGUUCUUAUUUUAUUAAAUUGCUUUCUUGGAGUUUGGCUGCAAGUUGUUAAAAUGGCUAAGAGAAUGGAACUGUGAGCACUUCUGGUAAUCAUUGAUUUCGACAGCACGGCUCAACAAAUUUACUUUGUUAUAAUUUUUUGUUGGAAGAACCAAGUUAUGGUUAUUUUGUUGUUCAUAAGUACAAUAGGGCCUAUGAUAAAGAAAAUAGUUUAUUUAAGAAUUAAACAAGCUGGUAGAGGUUCAUUCUUUGGUAGAGAUCUGAACACUUGACAUGGUUGUGGUGGUCGGAAUUGCACUUGAAGCUUUGAAGGAGAUAAGAUGGAGGGCGGGUGGUGGUUCUCCGGAUCCGGUGAGUAGAAAGAAGAUGGCAGAGGUGAGGGAGAGGGGAAAGAAGAGAGAGAAAGGGGAGGAAAAGAAGGAGUGAAGGAGACUCUCACCGUUUUUUUAUUUUAUUGUUAUGAACAAUUAAAAUUUACCAUGUGUCAAUUUUUUAUGUGGAGGUCAAAUGGUGUUUGCCACCUAAAGGGGUAUGCCUAUCACCACUCUAUUGUUAUUAAUCAACACUUUCGCUAUGUUGUAGUAAGAUUAAUCAUAUUUUUGGCACUA
This is a long non-coding RNA of Medicago truncatula (barrel medic), 790 nucleotides long. RefSeq lists it as uncharacterized. Lineage: Eukaryota; Viridiplantae; Streptophyta; Magnoliopsida; Fabales; Fabaceae. The transcript is spliced from 2 exons. The record is from RefSeq and is a predicted model, not a curated record.